Molecule: small nucleolar RNA, 139 nt
Organism: Phragmites australis (common reed)
Lineage: Eukaryota; Viridiplantae; Streptophyta; Magnoliopsida; Poales; Poaceae
Product: small nucleolar RNA Z247
Exons: 1
Source: RefSeq, a predicted model, not a curated record
CCGAUCGAUGAUGAGGAGCUUGUGGGCUAUAUACUCACAGGCCUUGACAUGGAGUAUAACUCGAUUGUCUUUGCAGUUCUUGCUCGGGUCGAACCGAUCUCUUUCAAUGAGCUGUACGCGCAACUGCUCAGUUUUGAGC